Castor canadensis (American beaver) is the source of this 322-nucleotide non-coding RNA. The record is from RefSeq and is a predicted model, not a curated record. Lineage: Eukaryota; Metazoa; Chordata; Mammalia; Rodentia; Castoridae.
AGAAAUUUUAUAAAUGUAUGAAGAUAGAACAAUGAAGGCUGUUGAAAGUGUUCUAAGACGGGGACAGAAAGGGGCUCCUCAGCUAUGAUGCAAACCUAUUGCCUGUGCAUCAUCCAUCUCAGCCAGACCACAUUACCUCUAUAUCCCUUUGGGCCAAGGAGGACUGAGCCAGUUAGUUUCUCAACAGAUAUGGUUGACUGAGUCAUAGCAUGUUUUGGUAAAAAUUAAUGUGAAGACACCGUGUUAGAAAGGAUUUGAAGACAUGGAAAUCAUUUAAGAAGGUACUCAAGCUUCAUGACCUCAGCUGAUAAAAAAAUUGUUG